This is a long non-coding RNA of Diachasmimorpha longicaudata, 988 nucleotides long. RefSeq lists it as uncharacterized. The transcript is spliced from 3 exons. The record is from RefSeq and is a predicted model, not a curated record. Lineage: Eukaryota; Metazoa; Arthropoda; Insecta; Hymenoptera; Braconidae.
CGAUUUUGAUGUGAAACAUCUAUAGGCGCACCCCUAAACUGAAUCGUUGGCCUGGCGAUACUUGCCGUGGCGAGCAUUCGCCAGGCUAUACUAAGUGAUAACUCAGAAGAUCAAAGUGAUCAACCUUGUGCAAAGAAAGUGAAACUACACUAUGGUAUACUACCAAGUCAUCAUUCCCAACAAUCAUCAGAAGGAUCACAAAAUAUUAUUAUUGAAACUGGACGUCACCCUGAUCAGUUAAACACAAGGCAUACUAUCAAUGUUGUGUCAGACUUUAUUAAUCGAAUAGUACCAGACUAUUUUAAACUAUUGCAUCUAUUGGAAAUGUGUGUUCUUCACAUGUUAAACUACAAGACGGAAGUGAAUUAAUUAUGAUUGUAAUAUACAUUUCACCUAAUAACAAAAUGGAUCAUCUCAUUUCAUUUUUACAUGAAAGGUUAUUUCCUUAUAGUCAAACAGGUUCAAUAAUUCUUAAAGCGAAUAAACAUAAACUACCAUUAUUUUUAGCUGCAUAUUUCAGUGUAAAUUUUGCAAGAGCUGAAUCAAUGCCAUUAAUGACAUUUCUUCAAAAAGAAUUUCAAUGGCAAAUCAAUAACGAUCCAAAAGAAUCUACUACCAAAUAUGGAACAACAAUAGAUGCUGUAUUUGUGAGAUAUCUUGAUGGUGUUUCAUCCAAUACUUUUGUAACGUACUUUAGUUAUCAUCGACCAAUCGUCACAGUAAUACCGGCAGAGGAAAAAUCGAAUAUAACUAUUAUUGAAGCCACAGAUGAAAAUAUUUAAAUUGUGGCAACUUGAUACUAAUAUCGAAUUUUUAUAUCAUGUAAAUAAAUGUUUAUUAAAUAAAGUUACCAUUUACUGUAAGAAUCUCGUAAUACUUCAUUUUUUCAUUAGGCUAUAUUUAAUUCCUGUAAUAAUAUUAUCUUUUAUGCAUAUUACUUGUACACACACGAUGUUUCACAUCUGCCAGGCGUCCCAUGACGGCUCAU